CUUGACGGUCGAUGCGGAAGCGAACACGCCAGAGUCCUUCCUUCGACGACAGAUGUAGCAACAAUCACGACAAGGUCCCUCGAUUUGAGCAAUAGAAAAUGCAACAUGGACCGUCGACGACUAGCCUCUCUCAACCUACGAACAACAAUCUCGCUCAGGUCACAAGCCACAAAUGUAAGGUCGCCGAAGGUUAGGUUUUCGUUUCCAAAUAG
RNAcentral lists this small RNA (212 nucleotides) under Vigna angularis var. angularis. RNAcentral's name for it is "Non-protein coding transcript". Lineage: Eukaryota; Viridiplantae; Streptophyta; Magnoliopsida; Fabales; Fabaceae. The record is from RNAcentral.